Molecule: non-coding RNA, 90 nt
Filed under: Pseudomonas baetica
Lineage: Bacteria; Pseudomonadati; Pseudomonadota; Gammaproteobacteria; Pseudomonadales; Pseudomonadaceae
Source: RNAcentral
UGUGGGAGCGAGCCUGCUCGCGAAAGCGCUGUGUCAGUCGAUAUUUAAGUUAACUGACACUCCGCCUUCGCGAGCAGGCUCGCUCCCACA